AGCAGCCGCGGUAAUUCCAGCUCCAAUAGCGUAUAUUAAAGUUGUUGCAGUUAAAAAGCUCGUAGUUGAAUUUCGGGAUCAGUAUGUUGGUCGUGCUUCGGUACGUACUGUCAUUACUGGUUUCUACCUUCUGAAGAACCUUGAUGUCAUUAAUUUGGUGUCUUGGGGAAUCAGGACUGUUACUUUGAAAAAAUUAGAGUGUUUAAAGCAAGCAUACGCUUGAAUACAUUAGCAUGGAAUAAUGAAAUAGGACGUUUGAUUCUAUUUUGUUGGUUUCUAGGAUCGACGUAAUGAUUAAUAGGGAUAGUUGGGGGCAUUAGUAUUCAAUUGUCAGAGGUGAAAUUCUUGGAUUUAUUGAAGACUAACUACUGCGAAAGCAUUUGCCAAGGAUGUUUUCAUUAAUCAAGAACGAAAGUUAGGGGAUCGAAGACGAUCAGAUACCGUCGUAGUCUUAACCAUAAACUAUGCCGACUAGGGAUCGGAUGAUGUUAUUUUUAAUGACUCAUUCGGCGCCUUAC
RNAcentral lists this ribosomal RNA (518 nucleotides) under uncultured Glomus. RNAcentral's name for it is "SSU rRNA". It matches the Rfam family "Eukaryotic small subunit ribosomal RNA", at positions 569 to 1091 of the family's 1831-position model. The record is from RNAcentral. Lineage: Eukaryota; Fungi; Glomeromycota; Glomeromycetes; Glomerales; Glomeraceae.